AGCCCAGUGGUGUAGUGGCAAUCAUGCCAGGCUUUGGACCUGGCGACCCCCGUUCGAAUCGGGGCGGGGCUA
RNAcentral lists this transfer RNA (72 nucleotides) under Archaeoglobales archaeon. RNAcentral's name for it is "tRNA-Gln". It matches the Rfam family "tRNA". Rfam says of the family: Transfer RNA (tRNA) molecules are approximately 80 nucleotides in length. Their secondary structure includes four short double-helical elements and three loops (D, anti-codon, and T loops). Further hydrogen bonds mediate the characteristic L-shaped molecular structure. tRNAs have two regions of fundamental functional importance: the anti-codon, which is responsible for specific mRNA codon recognition, and the 3' end, to which the tRNAs corresponding amino acid is attached (by aminoacyl-tRNA synthetases). tRNAs cope with the degeneracy of the genetic code in two manners: having more than one tRNA (with a specific anti-codon) for a particular amino acid; and 'wobble' base-pairing, i.e. permitting non-standard base-pairing at the 3rd anti-codon position. Lineage: Archaea; Methanobacteriati; Methanobacteriota; Archaeoglobi; Archaeoglobales. The record is from RNAcentral.